CCUACGGGUGGCAGCAGUGAGGAAUAUUGGUCAAUGGGCGCGAGCCUGAACCAGCCAAGUAGCGUGAAGGAUGACUGCCCUACGGGUUGUAAACUUCUUUUAUAAAGGAAUAAAGUGCGGCACGUGUGCCUUUUUGUCUGUAUUUCAUGAAUAAGGAUCGGCUAACUCCGUGCCAGCAGCCGCGGUAAUACGGAGUGUCCGAGCGUUAUCCGGAUUUAUUGGGUUUAAAGGGAGCGUAGAUGGGUUGUUAAGUCAGUUGUGACAGUUUGCGGCUCAACCGUAAAAUUGCAAUUGAUACUGGCAGCCUUGAGUACAGUUGAGGUAGGCGGAAUUCGUGGUGUAGCGGUGAAAUGCUUAGAUAUCACGAAGAACUCCGAUGGCGAAGGCAGCCUACUAAACUGCCACUGACAUUGCUUCUCGAAAGUGUGGGUAUCAAACAGGAUUAGAUACCCGUGUAGUC
Molecule: ribosomal RNA, 460 nt
Filed under: uncultured bacterium
Lineage: Bacteria
Description: partial 16S ribosomal RNA
Rfam family: Bacterial small subunit ribosomal RNA
Source: RNAcentral